GAUGAACGCUGGCGGCGUGCCUAAUACAUGCAAGUCGAGCGAACAGAUGAGGAGUUUGCUCCUUUGACGUUAUCCGCGGACGUGAGAGUAACAUGUGUAACAUCUACCUAAACGAGUGGUAUAACUUCGGGAAACUGGCUCUAACCCCGUAUAAUAUGAUGAACCAUAUGGUUUAAUAGAGAAAUACGGUUUUAUUGUUACUUAUUGAUGGUUCCGCGCCGUAUUAGCUAGUUGGUAAGGUAACGGCUUACCAAGGCAACGAUGCGUAGCCGACCUGAGAGGGUGAUCGGCCACACUGGAACUGAGACACGGUCCAGACUCCUACGGGAGGCAGCAGUAGGGAAUCUUCCGCAAUGGGCGAAAGCCUGACGGAGCAACGCCGCGUGAGUGAUGAAGGUCUUCGGAUCGUAAAACUCUGUUAUUAGGGAAGAACAAAUGUGUAAGUAACUAUGCACGUCUUGACGGUACCUAAUCAGAAAGCCACGGCUAACUACGUG
RNAcentral lists this ribosomal RNA (497 nucleotides) under uncultured bacterium. RNAcentral describes it as "partial 16S ribosomal RNA". It matches the Rfam family "Bacterial small subunit ribosomal RNA", at positions 28 to 507 of the family's 1533-position model. The record is from RNAcentral.